Molecule: long non-coding RNA, 1029 nt
Organism: Setaria italica (foxtail millet)
Lineage: Eukaryota; Viridiplantae; Streptophyta; Magnoliopsida; Poales; Poaceae
Exons: 3
Source: RefSeq, a predicted model, not a curated record
UGUUGGGAAUUAUGGCUGCCGACGUGUCUACCGAGUUGGGUUCGUCAACAAGUCUUGCCAUGGUUCCACUCAGUACAACGGAUUUUGAAGCUCACGUGGAUCCCCUAGCGGCUCGAGAAAUUAGUCUUGAAGAUAUCCAGCUGAUCGACGACCCUUUGCUAAACAUGGACAUGGUAGCUGGAAUGAUGGAGAUGCACCGUCGUAUCGGUGCCUACGCAGAGGAUGUCAUCAAAUGCUCCCACCGGAAAUCUCAGAUGCUUCAAGGCUAUGGGGACUCAGUACUCCAUGCUGAGGCCCUUAAAAAGGAACUUGCCAAGGAGAGGGAGUACUCCUCCUGACUACUGAUGAAGUACGAUGGAGCUGCUACUGAGUAUCGUAGCCGCAUCCAGCAGCUUGAGGAGGAGAAAGACCGUCUCAAGGGGCGGAAUAAGUCAUUGAACUAGCAAAUCACAGUGCUUUAAAAGUCAGAAGAAGAUCUCCAGGGACAAGUCAAUAAUCAGAAGAAUGCUUACUACCGGGUGAUAGAUCAACAUGAUAAGCUGGUAUCAAGAUAUGAGAACCUGGAGCAUCACCAGAAGAAAGAGAGAAAAAUGCGUGAAGAUGGUGAAGUUGACUUGGUCAAUGCCAUGAAAACCAUCCAGGAGCGUGAGUCUGAGCUGGAAGCUGCAAAAAUUGCUUUGAAGGAGAUAUCUGAAGCAGCCCAGCCAAUAGCGGAUAUGGUGGAGCCUCCAGUUGAGGGUGUAGAGCCCUGCCCGCUGAUUGAAGUGCUCAAGGACUUGCCAACGAAAUUCACCAACUACACUCAGAAGAUGAUGAAAUCUGUCUCCAAGCAACUACUAAGCUUCGUUAAGUCCUUAUAUCCUCAAGCUGAUCUGACUCCUGUUGCGGAGGAUAUAAAAGAGGAUUGCUCGGACGAACUUGUUAUUACAAGCUGAUGAAAUCUGUCUCCAAGCAACUACUGAGCUUCGUUAAGUCCUUAUAUCCUCAAGCUGAUCUGGCUCCUGUUGCGGAGGGUAUAGAAGAGGAUUG